AGUGAACGCUGGCGGUAGGCCUAACACAUGCAAGUCGAACGGCAGCACAGUAAGAGCUUGCUCUUACGGGUGGCGAGUGGCGGACGGGUGAGGAAUACAUCGGAAUCUACUUUUUCGUGGGGGAUAACGUAGGGAAACUUACGCUAAUACCGCAUACGACCUACGGGUGAAAGCAGGGGAUCUUCGGACCUUGCGCGAUUGAAUGAGCCGAUGUCGGAUUAGCUAGUUGGCGGGGUAAAGGCCCACCAAGGGGACGAUCCGUAGCUGGUCUGAGAGGAUGAUCAGCCACACUGGAACUGAGACACGGUCCAGACUCCUACGGGAGGCAGCAGUGGGGAAUAUUGGACAAUGGGCGCAAGCCUGAUCCAGCCAUACCGCGUGGGUGAAGAAGGCCUUCGGGUUGUAAAGCCCUUUUGUUGGGAAAGAAAAGCAGCAGGUUAAUACCCCGCUGUUCUGACGGUACCCAAAGAAUAAGCACCGGCUAACUUCGUG
Molecule: ribosomal RNA, 492 nt
Filed under: uncultured bacterium
Lineage: Bacteria
Description: partial 16S ribosomal RNA
Rfam family: Bacterial small subunit ribosomal RNA
Source: RNAcentral